RNAcentral lists this ribosomal RNA (492 nucleotides) under uncultured bacterium. RNAcentral's name for it is "partial 16S ribosomal RNA". It matches the Rfam family "Bacterial small subunit ribosomal RNA", at positions 29 to 507 of the family's 1533-position model. The record is from RNAcentral.
AGUGAACGCUGGCGGUAGGCCUAACACAUGCAAGUCGAACGGCAGCACAGUAAGAGCUUGCUCUUACGGGUGGCGAGUGGCGGACGGGUGAGGAAUACAUCGGAAUCUACUUUUUCGUGGGGGAUAACGUAGGGAAACUUACGCUAAUACCGCAUACGACCUACGGGUGAAAGCAGGGGAUCUUCGGACCUUGCGCGAUUGAAUGAGCCGAUGUCGGAUUAGCUAGUUGGCGGGGUAAAGGCCCACCGAGGCGACGAUCCGUAGCUGGUCUGAGAGGAUGAGAGGCCACACUGGAACUGAGACACGGUACAGAAUCCUACGGGAGGCAGCAGUGGGGAAUAUUGGACAAUGGGCGAAAGCCUGAUCCAGCAAUACCGCGUGGGUGAAGAAGGACUUCGGGUUGUAAAGCCCUGUUAUUGGGAAAGAAAAGAAGCAGGAUAAGCUGCCGCUGUUCUGACGGUACCCAAAGAAUAAGCAGAGGCUAACUUCGUG